RNAcentral lists this ribosomal RNA (181 nucleotides) under Listeria monocytogenes. Its description in RNAcentral is "partial 16S ribosomal RNA". It matches the Rfam family "Bacterial small subunit ribosomal RNA", at positions 1 to 176 of the family's 1533-position model. The record is from RNAcentral. Lineage: Bacteria; Bacillati; Bacillota; Bacilli; Caryophanales; Listeriaceae.
UUUAAAGAGAGUUUGAUCCUGGCUCAGGACGAACGCUGGCGGCGUGCCUAAUACAUGCAAGUCGAACGAACGGAGGAAGAGCUUGCUCUUCCAAAGUUAGUGGCGGACGGGUGAGUAACACGUGGGCAACCUGCCUGUAAGUUGGGGAUAACUCCGGGAAACCGGGGCUAAUACCGAAUGA